ACGGGAGGCAGCAGUGGGGGAUAUUGCACAAUGGGGGAAACCCUGAUGCAGCAACGCCGCGUGAGGGAAGAAGGUUUUCGGAUUGUAAACCUCUGUCCUCGGUGAAGAUAAUGACGGUAGCCGAGGAGGAAGCUCCGGCUAACUACGUGCCAGCAGCCGCGGUAAUACGUAGGGAGCGAGCGUUGUCCGGAAUUACUGGGUGUAAAGGGUGCGUAGGCGGGUAAACAAGUCAGGCGUGAAAAUCAGAGGCUUAACUUCUGAACUGCGCUUGAAACUGUAUAUCUUGAGUGAAGCAGAGGUAGGCGGAAUUCCCGGUGUAGCGGUGAAAUGCGUAGAGAUCGGGAGGAACACCAGUGGCGAAGGCGGCCUACUGGGCUUUAACUGACGCUGAGGCACGAAAGCGUGGGUAGCAAACAGGAUUAGAUACCCUGGUA
RNAcentral lists this ribosomal RNA (434 nucleotides) under uncultured Clostridium sp. RNAcentral describes it as "partial 16S ribosomal RNA". It matches the Rfam family "Bacterial small subunit ribosomal RNA", at positions 341 to 792 of the family's 1533-position model. Lineage: Bacteria; Bacillati; Bacillota; Clostridia; Eubacteriales; Clostridiaceae. The record is from RNAcentral.